UUCGACCUGAGAUCAGACGAGAUUACCCGCUGAAUUUAAGCAUAUCAAUAAGCGGAGGAAAAGAAACUAACAAGGAUUCCCCUAGUAACGGCGAGCGAAGCGGGAAUAGCCCAGCACCGAAUCCCUGCCUCGCAGGUAGCGGGAACUGUGGUGUUUAGGACAGCCUAUGGGGUGGUGUUCGGACGUCCGAGUCCUCCUGAUCGGGGCCUUUCCCAUAGCGGGUGUCAGGCCUCUACUGCGACCGUCGCCUCCCCUUUGUGCGUCCUUGGAGUCGGGUUGUUUGGGAAUGCAGCCCAAAGUGGGUGGUAAACUCCAUCUAAGGCUAAAUACUGACACGAGACCGAUAG
This 347-nucleotide ribosomal RNA is filed under the name Nephtys hombergii. RNAcentral's name for it is "eukaryotic LSU rRNA". It matches the Rfam family "Eukaryotic large subunit ribosomal RNA", at positions 1 to 340 of the family's 3401-position model. Lineage: Eukaryota; Metazoa; Annelida; Polychaeta; Phyllodocida; Nephtyidae. The record is from RNAcentral.